RNAcentral lists this ribosomal RNA (387 nucleotides) under uncultured bacterium. RNAcentral's name for it is "bacterial SSU rRNA". It matches the Rfam family "Bacterial small subunit ribosomal RNA", at positions 28 to 417 of the family's 1533-position model. The record is from RNAcentral.
GACGAACGCUGGCGGCGUGCUUAACACAUGCAAGUCGAGCGGUAAGGCCCUUUCGGGGGUACACGAGCGGCGAACGGGUGAGUAACACGUGGGUGACCUGCCCUCAGCUCUGGGAUAAGCCUGGGAAACUGGGUCUAAUACUGGAUAUGACUCCACGGUGCAUGUCGUGGGGUGGAAAGCCUUGUGCGGCUGAGGAUGGGCCCGCGGCCUAUCAGCUUGUUGGUGGGGUGAUGGCCUACCAAGGCGACGACGGGUAGCCGGCCUGAGAGGGCGACCGGCCACACUGGGACUGAGACACGGCCCAGACUCCUACGGGAGGCAGCAGUGGGAAUCUUGCGCAAUGGGCGAAAGCCUGACGCAGCGACGCCGCGUGAGGGAUGACGGCCU